This 1733-nucleotide long non-coding RNA is filed under the name Rattus norvegicus (Norway rat). RNAcentral's name for it is "long non-coding RNA NONRATT030506". Lineage: Eukaryota; Metazoa; Chordata; Mammalia; Rodentia; Muridae. The record is from RNAcentral.
CAGGAUACUUAUUUGAAUUGCUGGCCAACAAAGUUCCUGAGGAAGUGAUGUCUGAGAUAAUUAGCCCCUGAGUGUAGAAAUAUUGGGAGGAAGGGCCUGGCGGUACCUGAACAUUUGAGACUGGGGCAAGAGCAUGGGAGACAGUAGGAUGGAGCUUGGAGAUACUAGGAGGAUCAGAAGGGGCAGAUCAUAAUGGAAAAUAGAUUCUUAUACAAUACAUCCUUACCACAGUUUCCCCUCUAUCUACUCCUCCCAGCUACCCCAACCUCCUUUCUCUCCAGAUCUACUCCCCCUGUUUCCUCUUCAGAAAAGAGCAGGCCUCCAAGAGAAAACAGUCAAACAAAAUCCAAACAGAAAAAAAUCAAGAUACGUUAAGACAAGUUGAAAGCCCUCAUAGGAGGAAAAGAGUCCCAAGAACAGGCAAAAGAAUUAGAGAUACACCAGUUUCCAUUCUGAGGAGUUCAACAGGAACACCAAGCUAACAGCCAUAACAUGUAGAGGACCUGAUGCAGACCCAUGCAGGCCCUGCGCUUGCCACUUUAGUUUCUGUGAGCCUAGGUUGUGGUGGUGCAUACUAGUAGGAUUUGCUGAAGGAGGCAGAGGCAGGAGGAUUAAAAGCCUCUUAGAUUUAAAGGAGUUUGGUUUUAUUUACCAUACUCUAAUGAGAGUUUUUAAACAAGGAGUGACUUCAACCUGUUAGUAAUGUUACUUUCAACAGAUUAUCCUAAUUUUUCUACAAAGAACAGGGGCCAGAGAGAAAAUUGGAUAACUGAUUAUAAUUUGGGUGAUAAUGGUAUUUAGAUGAGGUCAGACCUUCAAACAGGUAAUAGGACUCUAGCUGGCAAAUUCUGUGGAAGGAAGAAGGAGCCAUGCUAACGUUAAGGUGUUUUGGUUUUUUAGUUUGUUCGUUUGUUUUACACAGAUGGGCAAAUGGCAGGAAAGGUUCCUGAGGAUAUUUAGGUUGGGUGCUGGGGGUGAGUGGAUGGAGGAAAUGAAGAGGUCUGUUUUGUGAGUAGGGUAUAGCUUAGUGGUAAAAGUAGAACCUUCAGUUUGAUCUCUAACUCCCAACGAAAACUAAACCCAAAAGAACCUCUUUUGAUCACAUUAAGCUACAAUGACUCUCUUGGUGUUUUAUUUAAUUUUGUUUUGUUUUGUUUUGUUUUUGAGACAGGGUUUCUCUGUGUAGCCUUGGCUUGCCUGGAACUUAUUUUAUAGACCACGCUGGCAUCAAACUCAUAGAGAUCCACUGUCUCUGCCUCCGGAGUGCUGGAAUUAAGGGCAUGCACCACCACACCCAGCUGCUACAAUGACAUUUAAGUUGCCAGAACGAGACAGACUUACUAAGUAAUCCACUAGACAUACUCAUAUGUAUGGUUUUGAGGCAUUAAGGAAGCUAACUUUAUAUGUAUUUAAAACAAAUUAGUUAGAGGUUUAUUGAAGCCUUGUUGGACUUCCUAUAUAAUUUUUCCUAAGUCCUAAUUACUACCUCUCAGAUGUCAUGUUUUUGCUUCUGUUAAAUAUUUGUGAUGUUUAACCUAACUUAAAAAAUAAUCAUUAAUAUUUCACAAACCAGAAUGUGGUAUUUAUGUACAAAUAUGUUGCUAAAGCUAUUAUGACUUAAACAUUUGCAAUGUGCUCUAUUCAAAUUUUGUAUUUGAAUAAAAGUUCUAAGCUAUAUAUCUUUUGAAAACUUUUUAGGAGAUAUAUGCUUAGAAAGGAAAUCAGAAUCAGAA